UUCUCUCUCACAUCUCGUACUGCCGCAUCGUCCCACACGUCCCUCCGUCCAUGGUCUCACCGGCGUUCCCCUCCCCCGCUCCCCCCAUUCCCCCCGCAUUCCGUCCGUGGUCUCAUGGGACAAGACGGUGAGGCUUUACGACGCUGACGCCAACGUGCUCAAGAGGGAGUUCAUGCACCCUGGGGCCAUCCUCGACUGCUGCUUCCACGACGACUCCUCAGGCUUUAGCGCCGGAGCCGACCACACCAUUCGGAGGUUGGUAUUAAGCUCGUCCAAGGAAGAUGUUUUGGGGCGGCAUGAUGGUCCAGUUCGUUGUGUGGAAUACUCUUAUGCUGCAGAUACUUUUAUUUCUAUGGAUUUGCUUUUGGAUUUCUUUUCUAGCGUUUCUUUUUCUUCUGCAAGGUACUUCUGCAGCCUGAUGCAGCUAUAAAUAGAACACAUUGAUAGCUAUUUUUGUACUUGAAUUCCAAAAACACUAUAUAUAGUUAUGCAGUUAUGCUUUUG
Zea mays is the source of this 504-nucleotide RNA transcript. It is a transcript of the gene named mitotic checkpoint protein BUB3.1 pseudogene, with no coding region annotated. The transcript is spliced from 3 exons. Lineage: Eukaryota; Viridiplantae; Streptophyta; Magnoliopsida; Poales; Poaceae. The record is from RefSeq and is marked validated.